GAUGAACGCUGGCGGCGUGCCUAAUACAUGCAAGUCGAGCGAACAGACGAGGAGCUUGCUCCUCUGACGUUAGCGGCGGACGUGUGAGUAACACGUGGAUAACCUACCUAUAAGACUGGGAUAACUUCGGGAGACCGGAGCUAAUACCGGAUAAUAUAUUGAACCGCAUGGUUCAAUAGUGAAAGACGGUUUUGCUGUCACUUAUAGAUGGAUCCGCGCCGCAUUAGCUAGUUGGUAAGGUAACGGCUUACCAAGGCAACGAUGCGUAGCCGACCUGAGAGGGUGAUCGGCCACACUGGAACUGAGACACGGUCCAGACUCCUACGGGAGGCAGCAGUAGGGAAUCUUCCGCAAUGGGCGAAAGCUUGACGGAGCAACGCCGCGUGAGUGAUGAAGGUCUUCGGAUCGUAAAACUCUGUUAUUAGGGAAGAACAAAUGUGUAAGUAACUAUGCACGUCUUGACGGUACCUAAUCAGAAAGCCACGGCUAACUACGUG
Molecule: ribosomal RNA, 497 nt
Filed under: uncultured bacterium
Lineage: Bacteria
Description: partial 16S ribosomal RNA
Rfam family: Bacterial small subunit ribosomal RNA
Source: RNAcentral